Molecule: transfer RNA, 74 nt
Filed under: Escherichia coli
Lineage: Bacteria; Pseudomonadati; Pseudomonadota; Gammaproteobacteria; Enterobacterales; Enterobacteriaceae
Description: tRNA-Arg
Source: RNAcentral
CCGCCAUUAGCUCAUCGGGAUAGAACGCCAGCCUUCUAAGCAAUCGGUCACUGGUUCGAACCCAGUACAACGCA